Molecule: long non-coding RNA, 1316 nt
Filed under: Homo sapiens (human)
Lineage: Eukaryota; Metazoa; Chordata; Mammalia; Primates; Hominidae
Description: HSALNT0371199
Source: RNAcentral
AUCAGCGCCGCUUCGUGGAGCCUGGCGACUGCUUUGGGAAGUCCUGCUGGCAGGCACUCUGCCCCUGGGGGUGUGCAAAGAGUUGUCCAGUUACCUUGAUCUUCUCACAGCCUCCUCCCCAGGGCACCAGGAGAGACCAGGAUUGGAGGACGGUGGCUUCCUCCAGGCAGUAAAUCUACAGCCCAGGCUCCCUGCAUCUUAUGGCUCCAAUCACUUUGGAUCUCAUCGUCGCCUGCACAUUGCCAUACACAGGGAAGGAGAAGAGAUGGAGAAGGCAAAGACUUUCUGAAAGCCGUGGCUAAAAGCUGGCAUGUGUCACAUCAGCUCACAUUCCAUUGUAGAGACGGGGUUUCACCGUGUUAGCCAGGAUGGUCUUGAUAUCCUGACCUCGUGAUCCGCCCGCCUUGGCUUCCCAAAGUGCUGGGAUUACAGGCGUGAGCCACCGCUCCCGGCCUGGCAGGCAUUCUUGAGGCAAACGGGAAAUGGGGUAAGUUACACAAUCGAUACAGCUCCGUCAUCGUGGUUUAAUUACUUUUCCACGUACCAUGUUUCCUGACAGGUAGAACGAUCAGCCUGGGCCUCCGUUUUUCAUUCUACAAAGAAUGAAGUGCAUGAACUGUCCUCUAUAGAAUUGUGGAAAAAGUUGUUUUUAUUGAGUUGUGGUUAUCUUUGUCUUCAUGGUCUAAUUACGGAAAUAAAUGCUUUUCCGAGUCUCCGGGGAUGGUCUGCCCUAGUCCAGCUCUCUGCAGUGUCUUUCUGGGUUUUUCCUCAGUGAACGGGAGGAACAUUGGCAGCACUUGUGGUCUGCACCAAGAACUGAAUCGAAUUUCCAUGUGUUAUUGAAUGUUCACAAAGACCUUGUACAGCGAGUGUUACUACCUCUGGUCAAUGAUUCAACUCAAGGCUCAGAAAAGUCAAGUGUCUUGUCCAGGGACACUUAGUCAGAAGUGAAUCCAAGGUUUAAGCUCAAGUCUGCCUAACUCUGAAUUUCACAGCCUUUUGCUACAUAUGGCGAAUAAUAUAUCCCUGAGCACUAAAGGCAGACUCCAAGGAUCUUGUCUCUGCAAUCAUCAUUCUGGCCAUAAUUUAUGAAAAGCAACCCAAAGUAUGUGAUGUAAUAAAAAGUACUAUCUAUGAGUUUACCCUUCCAAAAAUUGAACUGAAUUCUGAGCUCUAAAUUUGGAAUCAAAAGAACUUUUCUCUGCACUAAUCAUUUGGAACAUCACUUAAAGAAAACAACGAAAAACUGGUGUCCCCUGAGAGAAAGCAAUACAAAACAUUAUGCAUAAAGAAAUCCUUCCAAAAAAUAAACCAAA